CCUGUGAGGGUUGCUGGAGGUAUCAGAAGUGCGAAUGCUGACAUAAGUAACGAUAAAGCGGGUGAAAAGCCCGCUCGCCGGAAGACCAAGGGUUCCUGUCCAACGUUAAUCGGGGCAGGGUGAGUCGACCCCUAAGGCGAGGCCGAAAGGCGUAGUCGAUGGGAAACGGGUUAAUAUUCCCGUACUUGGUGUUACUGCGAAGGGGGGACGGAGAAGGCUAUGUUGGCCGGGCGACGGUUGUCCCGGUUUAAGCGUGUAGGUGUGUGUUCCAGGUAAAUCCGGUUCACUUUAACACUGAGGCGUGAUGACGAGGCACUACGGUGCUGAAGCAACAAAUGCCCUGCUUCCAGGAAAAGCCUCUAAGCAUCAGGUAACAUCAAAUCGUACCCCAAACCGACACAGGUGGUCAGGUAGAGAAUACCAAGGCGCUUGAGAGAACUCGGGUGAAGGAACUAGGCAAAAUGGUGCCGUAACUUCGGGAGAAGGCACGCUGACACGUAGGUGAAGUGAUUUACUCACGGAGCUGAAGUCAGUCGAAG
RNAcentral lists this ribosomal RNA (539 nucleotides) under Salmonella enterica subsp. enterica serovar Heidelberg. RNAcentral's name for it is "bacterial LSU rRNA". It matches the Rfam family "Bacterial large subunit ribosomal RNA", at positions 1260 to 1782 of the family's 2925-position model. RNAcentral also lists the same sequence under 3 other names. The record is from RNAcentral. Lineage: Bacteria; Pseudomonadati; Pseudomonadota; Gammaproteobacteria; Enterobacterales; Enterobacteriaceae.